CGCCGUCGUUCAUCCAUCUUCUCGAACCCAGCCUUGGCGUCGUUCAUCCAUCUUCAGCGUUCAGCUUCAUCUUCUCGAACCCAGCCUCUCUCUGUCGCGGUUCUGCUGUCCUUCUCGCCGUUCUGCUGUCCUUCUGUGUCGUGGUUCAGCGUUCGCCAUUUCUCUUACUGUCCUUCUUGCCGUUCUGGUCGUCGUGCUGCUCGCCUCUCUCUGUCGCAGUUCUGCUCACCUCUCUCUGUCGCGGUUCUGCUCGCUUCUCUGUCGUGGUUCUGCUCGCCGUGCUGCUCGAAGGUUAGUGCUCAGUUGUGCUCCAUCUUCGUUUUUUUAGAAAUAAAUCAAGAAAAUUGGAUGCCUUUGGGUAUAAUCAAUCAAUCAAGAGCCACCGCCUCGACUUCAGUUCUCCGAUCAGCCUCCGCGCUCACGCCAGAGCCCUCGCUCCUCUUCUCCAACUAUUCCAACGCAGCUUGGCUUCCAUGGGUACUCACUCCCACAAUUUCGGAGUGUUUCUUUGCUUUCUCGAAUUCUUG
RNAcentral lists this long non-coding RNA (527 nucleotides) under Arachis ipaensis. RNAcentral describes it as "long non-coding RNA (AIPA_LNC001704)". Lineage: Eukaryota; Viridiplantae; Streptophyta; Magnoliopsida; Fabales; Fabaceae. The record is from RNAcentral.